UGGGGAAUAUUGGACAAUGGGGGGAACCCUGAUCCAGCCAUGCCGCGUGUGUGAAGAAGGCCUUAUGGUUGUAAAGCACUUUAAGCGAGGAGGAGGGUACUGGUAUUAAUACUACCAGCUACUGGACGUUACUCGCAGAAUAAGCACCGGCUAACUCUGUGCCAGCAGCCGCGGUAAUACAGAGGGUGCGAGCGUUAAUCGGAUUUACUGGGCGUAAAGCGUGCGUAGGCGGCUAAUUGAGUCGGAUGUGAAAUCCCCGAGCUUAACUUGGGAAUUGCAUUCGAUACUGGUUAGCUAGAGUGUGGGAGAGGAUGGUAGAAUUCCAGGUGUAGCCGUGAAAUGCGUAGAGAUCUGGAGGAAUACCGAUGGCGAAGGCAGCCAUCUGGCCUAACACUGACGCUGAGGUACGAAAGCAUGGGGAGCAAACAGG
This 430-nucleotide ribosomal RNA is filed under the name Pseudomonadota bacterium. RNAcentral describes it as "Proteobacteria bacterium partial 16S ribosomal RNA". It matches the Rfam family "Bacterial small subunit ribosomal RNA", at positions 355 to 776 of the family's 1533-position model. The record is from RNAcentral. Lineage: Bacteria; Pseudomonadati; Pseudomonadota.